This 422-nucleotide ribosomal RNA is filed under the name uncultured Clostridium sp. RNAcentral describes it as "bacterial SSU rRNA". It matches the Rfam family "Bacterial small subunit ribosomal RNA", at positions 355 to 794 of the family's 1533-position model. The record is from RNAcentral. Lineage: Bacteria; Bacillati; Bacillota; Clostridia; Eubacteriales; Clostridiaceae.
UGGGGAAUAUUGGGCAAUGGGCGCAAGCCUGACCCAGCAACGCCGCGUGAAGGAAGAAGGCUUUCGGGUUGUAAACUUCUUUUAUUAGGGACGAUAAUGACGGUACCUAUUGAAUAAGCUCCGGCUAACUACGUGCCAGCAGCCGCGGUAAUACGUAGGGAGCAAGCGUUAUCCGGAAUUACUGGGUGUAAAGGGAGUGUAGGCGGGACUGUAAGUCAGAUGUGAAAUAUGCCGGCUCAACUGGCAGACUGCAUUUGAAACUGUGGUUCUUGAGUGAAGUAGAGGUAAGCGGAAUUCCUGGUGUAGCGGUGAAAUGCGUAGAUAUCAGGAGGAACAUCAGUGGCGAAGGCGGCUUACUGGGCUUUAACUGACGCUGAGGCACGAAAGCGUGGGUAGCAAACAGGAUUAGAUACCCUGGUAGU